UACCCUACAUGCUGGUUCAGAACAAUUUCAGGCUGGCCAUUCAGAACCUAUGUUCAGUCCUUAGAACACACCCAUCUUUGUAAUUAAGAAAAAAAUCUGGAAACCUGGAGAUUAUUACAAGAUCUCAGGGCAAUUAAUUGUGUGAUUGAGCCCAUGGGACCCUUAUAACCAGAGUUCCUUCACAUACAGCUAUCCCUUUGGAUUAUCACUUAAUAGUAAUAGAUUUAAAAGAUUGAUUCUUUUCUACACCUUGGCACACAGACAACUGUAAAAGGUUUGCCUUCAG
RNAcentral lists this small RNA (286 nucleotides) under Marmota monax (woodchuck). The record is from RNAcentral. Lineage: Eukaryota; Metazoa; Chordata; Mammalia; Rodentia; Sciuridae.